This 72-nucleotide transfer RNA is filed under the name Bos taurus (domestic cattle). It matches the Rfam family "tRNA". Rfam says of the family: Transfer RNA (tRNA) molecules are approximately 80 nucleotides in length. Their secondary structure includes four short double-helical elements and three loops (D, anti-codon, and T loops). Further hydrogen bonds mediate the characteristic L-shaped molecular structure. tRNAs have two regions of fundamental functional importance: the anti-codon, which is responsible for specific mRNA codon recognition, and the 3' end, to which the tRNAs corresponding amino acid is attached (by aminoacyl-tRNA synthetases). tRNAs cope with the degeneracy of the genetic code in two manners: having more than one tRNA (with a specific anti-codon) for a particular amino acid; and 'wobble' base-pairing, i.e. permitting non-standard base-pairing at the 3rd anti-codon position. The record is from Rfam by way of RNAcentral. RNAcentral also lists the same sequence under 1 other name. Lineage: Eukaryota; Metazoa; Chordata; Mammalia; Artiodactyla; Bovidae.
UCCCUUGUGGUCCAGUGGUUUAGACUUGGUGCUUUCAAUGCCAGGGCCUGGGUUCGAUUCCUAGUCAGGAAA